UUGGAGGUUCAACGAGUGCGGGCAAUGGCAAUUGAAAUUGCGAAAAUGCCGUUAAUAAAUAGGGCUGAAGGUGAAAGAGAAGGUUUGGAGUGGAAUCUGCACCUGCAAUUGUAUUUUUGAAAGAACAUGGAAUCAAACCUGUUGUGUACCAUGGUUGUCAAUCUAAAUAUUGGUGCUAAUCAGCAUACAGUUGCAAAUUUUGAACACCUUGGAGACAAGCCGACAACUCAGGUGGAAGUUUGGGUUAAUGUGACCAGUUGUGAGAAGCAGUUUUUGGAACUGCUUGAU
Camellia sinensis is the source of this 288-nucleotide non-coding RNA. Lineage: Eukaryota; Viridiplantae; Streptophyta; Magnoliopsida; Ericales; Theaceae. The record is from RefSeq and is a predicted model, not a curated record.